This 253-nucleotide ribosomal RNA is filed under the name uncultured bacterium. RNAcentral describes it as "partial 16S ribosomal RNA". It matches the Rfam family "Bacterial small subunit ribosomal RNA", at positions 524 to 776 of the family's 1533-position model. The record is from RNAcentral.
GACGAGGGACCCUAGCGUUGUUCGGAAUCAUUGGGCGUAAAGCGGGUGCAGGCUGCUCUAUAAGUCAAGUGUGAAAUCCCAAGGCUCAACUUUGGAAGUGCAUUUGAUACUGUAGAGCUUGAGUGCUGGAGAGGUUGCUAGAAUUCCAGGUGUAGUGGUGAAAUACGUAGAUAUCUGGAGGAACACCGGAGGCGAAGGCGGGCAACUGGCCAGACACUGACGCUCAUACCCGAAAGCGUGGGGAUCAAACAGG